This 27-nucleotide non-coding RNA is filed under the name Homo sapiens (human). The record is from RNAcentral. Lineage: Eukaryota; Metazoa; Chordata; Mammalia; Primates; Hominidae.
GUCUGGAGUAGGGUGGCAUGAUCUUGA